GUAUGUAAUGACAGUAUGGCUGUGACAUCUACCACCACUUUUAUUGAAAGAGCUGAUUCUGCUGCUUUUCAUGACAAUGUGGGUGUUCCAUUCCUUCCUGGCCUCUCUAUGUAUGUCCUUCCCAAACCUGUAUGCUACUGAUAGAGGAGGGCUGGUCUUUGGUUAAGGGUGUAUAAUAGCUGCACUCCCAUGAUAGAGCCUAUAUACAAGUUUCCAAUUUAUUCCUAGAAAGCUAAUUGAUGAGCAGUUGUAUAAAUAUAACAUUUUUGUUGUCUGAUUGAAUUGCAAGGGGAUUUGA
Molecule: unclassified non-coding RNA, 298 nt
Organism: Cricetulus griseus (Chinese hamster)
Lineage: Eukaryota; Metazoa; Chordata; Mammalia; Rodentia; Cricetidae
Gene: 7SK
Rfam family: 7SK RNA
About the family: 7SK was discovered as an abundant small nuclear RNA in the mid-70s but a possible function has only recently been suggested. Two independent studies have found that 7SK RNA binds the CDK9/cyclin T complex (known as elongation factor P-TEFb).
Source: Ensembl